GUAGGGGGCGAGCGUUGUCCGGAUUUAUUGGGCGUAAAGAGCUCGUAGGCGGUUCAGCAAGUCGGCCGUGAAAGCCUGAGGCUCAACCUCAGGACGCCGGUCGAAACUGCUGUGGCUAGGGUUCGGUAGAGGAGAGUGGAAUUCCCGGUGUAGCGGUGAAAUGCGCAGAUAUCGGGAGGAACACCAGUAGCGAAGGCGGCUCUCUGGGCCGAUACCGACGCUGAGGAGCGAAAGCUAGGGGAGCGAACAGGGAUUAGAUACCCUGGUAGUCCUAGCUGUAAACGUUGGGCACUAGGCGUGGCGGACUCAUUGACGUCUGCCGUGCCGAAGCUAACGCAUUAAGUGCCCCCGCCUGGGAGUACGGUCGCAAGGCUA
Molecule: ribosomal RNA, 375 nt
Filed under: uncultured organism
Description: partial 16S ribosomal RNA
Rfam family: Bacterial small subunit ribosomal RNA
Source: RNAcentral